Molecule: long non-coding RNA, 5414 nt
Filed under: Canis lupus familiaris (dog)
Lineage: Eukaryota; Metazoa; Chordata; Mammalia; Carnivora; Canidae
Description: lncRNA (ENSCAFG00845022579.1)
Source: RNAcentral
UUUUUUUUUUUUUUGUAAAAAUGGGUUAUUAAUGCCCAGUUUAUAGCUCUGUUAAGACUCUACAAAUUUAAACUUUUAUAAGCACAUCUAGUAGUGACUAGGUAAUUUAACAAAUGACUGCUGAAUCUAAACUUACGGUAGGUUUCGAAACAUACUUUGGAUAAACUUAGGGUUUCAGUGGAUUGUGACUCAACAUGAACCAACAGUGCUGACAAUGAGAAAGUUAGUGGAAUCAGGCAAGAUGUAUUAACAGACCUCUUAUUCAUAGAAGACAGACUAUAUGUACUCAAACCACAGAGUAUACUCAGUUCUAUAUGCAAUAUUUUUAAAGCAAUAUUAACAAAAUGUAGCGGAUCCAAAGUGGAAUAUCCAGGAUACUACUGACACUACUCAUCUCAUACUAUGAUCUCAUUCAUACUGAGAACCAGUGGACUUAGGUAUAUUUACCCUACAGAGAAGAUAAAAAAAGCUAUUUUUAGAAAACCUAUCUAGAGCCAUAGGAUGAAAUUAUAUACUGAACAGAGAAUUUAUUAUGAGAAUAAUAAAUUAUGAGAAUUUUUAUUUUUUAUCAAUUAUUAUAUUGCUCUCUUAUGAGAAUUUUAUUUUUUAUCAAUUAUUAUAACUAACAUAAUCUAUAUCAUUAUCUAUUAAUGGUUCUUAUUCUAAUACUCUGAGGAUUAAAAUAAAAUGAAUACAGGCUAAUUAAAAAACUGGCUUGUAGGUGGCUUAGUUGGUUAAGCAGCUGACUCUUGGUUUUGGCUCAGGUCCUGAUCUCGGGGUUGUGAGACAGAGCCCAUGUGGGGCUCUGCGCUCAGCAGGAGUCUGCUUGAUAGGCUCUCCGUCUCUCUUCCCCUCUGCGUGUUCUCUCUCUCUCUCAAAUAAUCUUUAAAAGAAUUGACUUUAGAAAUUUUCAGUAUAUUUUAUUACUAAGCUGUCUUUUUAAGGAUUUGGAGGACAAACUGCAUUUAAGUUCUGACAGUAGGAUAUUAAAUAUGAGGGGCAUAAAGAAAUAACUUGAGACAAUUUAAAUAAAAUGAAACUGAAAAAAAUUUUAAGAAAUUUAUUUACCGGAUAUAACAGGGAGCAUGAAACUAAUAGUCUAGACAAAAAGUGAGGUGUCAUUGCGGACAACUUAAAAUAUUUCUUUUAAAAAAAAAAUUUUUUUUUUUAAUUCAUAGAGAUGUAGAGAGAGAGAGAGAGAGAGAGGCAGAGACACAGGCAAAGGGAGAAGCAGGCUCCAUGCAGAGAGCCCGACGUGGGACUCGAUCCAGGGUCUCCAGAUCAUGCCCCGGGCUACAGGCGGCGCUAAACCGCUGCGCCACUGGGGCUGCCCUAAAAUAUCUAUUUCAAUUCUGCAUUCAAUUUAUUCCUAUUUUACAUGGAAAUCACUUUGAAAAUUCAAAUUUCAGGCAAAAAGGUAGAGGCAAAGGGCAGACUGCAUUGAACAGUCUACGGAAGUUACCUAUUGUAUUUAUGCUUAGACCUUGAAAUUCUUAGCAUAGCCGAAUUUAUUGUAUUUGUAUGUUUAUUUUCUAUUCAAGCAAGGUCUGUGCUAUUAAAUUUUGCCUUGUUUUCAUUUUCCUAAGAAAACAUCAAAGGUAACUUCAUAAAUAAGAAAUUCCCCCCCCAAAAAAAGAAAGAAAGAAAUUCCCUAUUAUUAUUCUUUGAAUCAUCCAUCUUGAACUGAGAUGUUACUCAAGGUGGGAAAAUAAUGAAUCCAACUCCUUUCUAUAAUUUUAGCACUAAAAUUCAAAUUUUAUGGCUACAAUUUGGUUGAGAGCAGAAACACAGCCUUGCAUAGAUAGAAGAUCAGAUUUAAUCAUUUAAAUCAUUCUGUCAAAUACAUAUAUGUCAAACACAUAUAAGAGUUUAAGGACAGGAACAACUGGCAUCUGAUUUUACACUAACUCUCAAAAAGAGCAGUUAUUUGAACAAUGACUGAAAAUGGCUGUGGCAUAUUGUAAAUUUUCUCUAAGUUCAUAAACCACAAAACAUACCCCUUUAAGAGCUUAGGUUUGAUAGAUAUAACAAAAUUAACAUCGGUUGAUCAUAUUAGUAAAGUUUGCAAGCCUUCUUUACCACCAAACGCUGACAGUAACUAGGCACCCUUAUAAAUUUUUCUUUUGAUUGUAAACAUCAUUUACUACUAAUCCAAUUGCCAAAAGAGCAAUUUGUUCUUUUUAUCUCUUUUGGCACAAAUAUUUCUCCCAGAAGCAUUCACAUUAUAAAAUUAUUCAAGAUAAUUAAAAUUUCCUCAUGGGUGCCACACAGACAGCAAUUUACACAAGUAAAUUUCAAUCACGAAUAUGUUAAAAACCGAAUUUUCAGCUAUAUUUAGUGACUCAUACCAAAAGCAUUACAUUUUUCAUUGAAAACACAACAGAUGUUAUGUCAUUUGCCAUUUACCAAUUGCCCUACUGAUUACAACAUUCUUACUUUAUCUGUAGUGCUUUUCAUCAGCCCCACAUUUACGUUACUUUGUAAGAUUUUAUUUAUUUAUUUGAGAUAGAAAGGGGGGAGGGGCGAGAGGGAAAGGAGAAGCAGACUCCCCAUUGAGCAGGGAACCUGAAAGGCAGGGCGAAGUGGGGUGGUGGUGCUUGAUCCAGGGAGUCUGGGAUCAUGAUCCUGGGGUCAUGACCUGAGCUGAAGGCAGACACUUAAUCGACUAAGCUACAGAGGUACCCCUACAUUAUUUAUAAUAUAAGAACUGACAAUAUUUUCUAAUAUGGUAUGAUUACAUGCCAUUGCUAUUCUACUGCUCACUUGAUAACAUUUCUAAAAACUUAUCUAGAUAAUCAGUCUAAUGUGAGAAACAAUUUUUGUCAUUUCUUUUUAUUAGACUGGUUCUUGAUAAUAAGCAAAUAGUAAGUUUUCUGAAUUACAAGGUAACUUGUUUCCAUGAUUUCUGUUUAUAGUACUAACUAUGACAGUACUGAAUGGGGAAUUUUCUGCUUUAUCUUGUUUCUUAUUUGGAAAGUCAGUGUCUCAAAAUUUUUGUUGUAGAUUACAAAAGAAGCAAUGAUCUAAACUGCUGACAGUGUACCUAAAGAUGUUAUUUCAUUUAGUAUCAAAUGAUAUAUCUAGUUAUCUUAACUUUAAAAUAUAUAUAACAGAAAUAUAUAAUUUAAGUGUAUAUUCCGCAAAUUGCAAUGUAAAAAAAACUAAACACAGCUCAAAAAGGAAAAAGUGAGAAAAAAUGGAAAGAAAUAUUAUUUCUGAAUGUUAGGCAACAAAAAUAUAAAAAUGAACUCAAUAUAUAAAAACACUGCCAUUAUUUAAUUCUGACAGCAUCAAAUAUAUGAAACACCAAUAUUCUACAACUUCUGGAAUAUCCACAUUCCACAUGUGGGGAACAGCUUAAAAAAUAUGGCAUUAAAUAAACCUAAGAGAAUGACAGAAGAAGGGAUAUACCCACAUAAUCAUACAGAAUCACUGACUCCUGUCAGUAUUUACCCAUUUUUCUGGGUAUUGUUAAAUCAGCAAAGCAUCAUUUUAAUAGCUAGGAUUAAAGAGAACUGCAGACAUACUACCUAGAACAGACAACAGAAAACAUUCCAGUUAUAAAAUAUAGCAAAUGACCUUUGUUUAAAAGAUGCUGGACAAUAUUCAAGAAAGGCUGUUUGAUUAGAAAUUUCUAAGGGAGAGGAAAUAAGGUUAGAAAUGUGACAUUUUCUAUGCUUAUAAAUCUGUAAGAAGUUAAAUGAUACCUAUUUCUUUCUGAAAAGUCAACUGUCCUCCAGUCUACAGUAGAAGUACAAUACCAAUCAAAAAGAUUUCUUUUUCUAAGAGUUAAACUGAAGUAAAACCGAGCUGGCUUCCAAGGGACCAAUUAAGAAAUUACGCCUGGGCUAUAUAAGAUUCUUUGGGGAUUUGUAAAUAUUUCCAUUCUAGUUUUCCAGAGACAAAAAUAUAAAAAGGAAAAAAUUAGACAAAGAAGUGACCUGUGGUAUUUGGCUACUACUCUUCCAACUGGCUCAUUAAUAAAAGUUUUCAAUAUUAUUUGAUUUCUACCCUAAAAACUACUUACUGAGUUCAAUGACUAAUCUAUUACCAUAAGGUCAGUUCUCAACACAUAUACAUUAUCUACCAGUCACUAAUGCAGUGGUAUUAGUUAAGAGAAAAAUCUAAUACACUAGUUUUCACUGAAACACGGCCAUCCCUCACAUCAAGGACAGAAAACAGAUGCAUCUGAGUUUCUUUUAUUUAGAGAUAUAAAAUUAAGGUCAAGGAAUAGAUGGAAAUGAAUCUUUUUGGUAACUGAUAUUAGGAAAAAUUAGUUAUCUUGUAUAGUUACCACGACCUUGAUUUGAGUUUUUCUAGAGGUAUGACAUUAAUUUCAGCUAACCUGUUAAGAAUUUUUCCCUUAGAGUUUUUAAGUUUCUCAGGACAUCUGGGUGGCUCAGUUGGUUAAGCAUCUGCCUUUGGUUUCAGGUCAUGAUCUCAGAGCCCCUCAUCUGGCUCCUCGCUCAGCGGGGAGUUGGCCUCUCCCUCUGCUCCUCUCCCUGCUCAUGCUUACUCUCUUUUUUUUCUAGAUUUUUAUUUAUUCACAAGAGACACAGAAAGAGGCAGAGACAUAGGCAGAGGGAGAAGCAGGCUCCCUGCAGGUAGCCCGAUGUGGGAUUCGAUCCCAGGACCCUGGGGUCACGACCUGAGCCCAAGGCAGAUGCUCAACCCCUUAGCCACCCAGGUGCCUCCCUCUCUCUCUAAUAAAUAAAUUAGAAAAAUCUUAAAAAGGAAAGAAUUUAUGAGCUUCUCAAAAGUUAAAUAAUUUAGGGUAAAAAGGUUUCUUAUUCUAAGAAAGAGGUGUACAUGUGUAUAUAUCAAAGGAAGGAAAAGUGAUUGCCUUCCUGUUUGUCCUACCUUCUGAAGUUUAAAAGCUAAAUUUUAAGUAUCUCACAAAAAAGUCUGCAGUGUAAUCUAGUGAUGUAAAAAUAAAUAAAUGAAGAAACUAUUUUUCAAGUAGAGAGAAUACCUCCAAUUUAUAAAAUCAUAAAAUAACUGUUAAUAAACCUAACAAUGGUAAUAAAAAAGAUAAUUCUUUAUAAAUUCUUCUGAAAGAAAAGUGUUUAAAAUUGUGAUUCUCAGAUUUAGAGAUGAUAUGGCCUGGCUGCAAAAUAUUUUCCAAAAUCGAAAUUUACCCAAAGCAAUGACAUGAUUCUUGCUCUAAACUGGAUUAAAACAUAUACCAAACUUAAAAGUGUAGGGGUAAAGGGAGGUUAGAAAGUUGUCAGUCUAGGGGCACCCGGGUGGUUCAGUUGGUUAAGUGCUGGACUCUUGAUUUUGGCUCAGAUCAUGAUCCCAAGGUCAUGAGAUCGAGUCUUGGAUUAGGCUGAGUGUGGAGCCUGCUUAAGAUUCUCUCCCCCCAUCCCUGACAUGGGCUUUUUCUUAAAAAAAAAAAAAAAAAAAAAAAAAAA